Long non-coding RNA from Gymnodraco acuticeps, 282 nucleotides. RefSeq lists it as uncharacterized. Lineage: Eukaryota; Metazoa; Chordata; Actinopteri; Perciformes; Bathydraconidae. The record is from RefSeq and is a predicted model, not a curated record. The transcript is spliced from 3 exons.
CAGAUGGCCGAGAUGACAGUGAAGGAAUUUCCCAAAAUUCCAAAGACGUUUCACAUCAAGUCAUCAAAACAAUGUCUUCAACAUCUACGAAGGGACAUGGCAGAAUAAAUUCUCAGAGGAUCAGUUUCAAAGGAUGACUUCUGUUCCUUCUGUGGAAUUGAGGACCUGCCCACAACUGCUGUUGAUGCUGUUUGGAUUCAGUGUGAAACUUGUGGGAGAUGGUUUCACACGCAGUGCCUCGGAAUGCCUGCUGCACGAAUACCCAAAAAGAAUACCCCGUGG